CACUGAGAUGGGGCAGCCCAAACCCCACAGAACCCCUGAAUUGUUACACAGGGGUGACACACACUGGGAUUUGGGACAGCCCAGACCCCACAGAAUCCCUGGGAUUGUUACACAGAGGUGACAAACACUGAGAUGGGACAGCCCAAACCCCACAGAAUCCCUGAAUUGUUACACAGGGGUGACAAACACUGGAUUUGGGACAUCCCAAACCCCACAGAAUCCCUGGAUUGUCACACAGGGGUGACAAACACUGAGAUGGGACAGCCCAAACCCCACAGAAUCCUUGGAUUGUUACACAAGGGUGACCCACACUGGAUUUGGGACAUCCCAAACCCCACAGAAUCCCUGGAAUCACUGAAUUGUUACACAAGGGUGACCCACACUGGGAUUUGGGACAUCCCAGACCCCACAGAAUCCCUGGAAUCACUGAAUUGUUACACAAGGGUGACANCAGAGCCGUGCCAGGAGCGAGCCGUGCCAAUCGGGCACAGAGCAAACCCAACCGCAGCCCCGAAGGUUCGGAUCCCAAUUUCCCCAUUCCCGACAUCCCGAGGCAGCGCGGGGCGGUGCUGACCCCUAGCGAGGGAUGCCUGGGAAAAGGGAAAUUCCUGGGAUAAAUCUCCCGUCCCACCGCGCUCCAUUCCCUGCCCCUCCUGCCCAAGGCUCCUCGGGCACGGGCACAGAGCAGCUUCUGAGAAACUGGCACAAGAAAUCCCCGAUUUUGAGAUAUUUUCAAUAAAUGUGUCCCCAUGAGGAUCA
Molecule: long non-coding RNA, 759 nt
Filed under: Zonotrichia albicollis (white-throated sparrow)
Lineage: Eukaryota; Metazoa; Chordata; Aves; Passeriformes; Passerellidae
Description: lncRNA (ENSZALG00000005935.1)
Source: RNAcentral